GAAGAAGUUUGGAAAAACUCAUCAUAGAAGGUAAUAAUCCUGUAGUCAAAAUAAUAAUUCUUUAGGUAUGAUCCAGAGUACCACGGGACACGUGAAACCCUGUGGGAAGUAGGAGGGACCACCCUCCAAGGCUAAAUACUACCUAGUGACCGAUAGCGUAUAGUACCGUGAGGGAAAGGUGAAAAGAACCCCGGGAGGGGAGUGAAAUAGAACCUGAAACCCUGCACUUACAAGCUGUGGAAGCACAUUUCUUGUGUGACCGCGUACUUUUUGUAGAACGGGCCAACGAGUUACGUUAAGUAGCAAGGUUAAGCACUUAAGGUGCGGAGCCGUAGCGAAAGCGAGUUUUAACUGAGCGUUCAGUUACUUGACGUAGACCCGAAACCGGGCGACCUACCCAUGAGCAGGAUGAAGCGAAAGUAAAAUUUCGUGGAGGUCCGAACCCACGAGCGUUGAAAAGCUCGGGGAUGACUUGUGGGUAGCGGUGAAAUUCCAAUCGAGCCCGGAGAUAGCUGGUUCUCCCCGAAAUAGCUUUAGGGCUAGCCUCAAGGUGAGAGAUACGGAGGUAGAGCACUGAAUGUCCUAGGGGGUAUUGCACCUACCGAAGACUAUCAAACUCCGAAUGCCGUCAUCUUAUACUUGGGAGUCAGACUGUGGGUGAUAAGAUUCAUAGUCGAAAGGGCAACAGCCCAGAUCGUCAGCUAAGGUCCCUAAAUGUAAGUUAAGUGGUAAAGGAUGUGGGAUUGCACAGACAACCAGGAUGUUGGCUUAGAAGCAGCCACUCAUUCAAAGAGUGCGUAAUAGCUCACUGGUCGAGUGAUCCUGCGCCGAAGAUUUCCGGGGCUAAAACUUACUACCGAAGCUACGGCAUCAGUAAUGAUGGGUAGGGGAGCUUCCCAUACAGGUUGAAGCAUGACCGUAAGGACAUGUGGACAGUAUGGGAGUGAGAAUGUUGGCAUGAGUAGCGAGAUGUGGGUGAGAAUCCCACAGGCCGUAAACCCAAGGUUUCCAGGGGAAGGUUCGUCCGCCCUGGGUUAGUCGGGACCUAAGCUGAGGCCGAAAGGCGUAGGUGAUGGACAACAGGUUGAUAUUCCUGUACUACCGAUAACCGUUUGAGAGAAGGGAUGACACAGUAGGAUAAGCUAAGCACACUGUUGGUUAUGUGUGCCCAAGCAUUGAGGCAGUCAAAGUAGGCAAAUCCGCUUUGAUAAUGCUGGGAUGUGAUGGGGAGCGAAAUUUAGUAGCGAAGUAGCUGAUUUCACACUGUCAAGAAAAGUCUCUAUCGAGGUUAAAGGUACCCGUACCGCAAACCGACACAGGUGGGUGAGGAGAGUAUCCUAAGGCCAGCGAGAGAACUGUUGUUAAGGAACUCGGCAAAAUGACCCCGUAACUUAGGGAUAAGGGGUGCCACCAUCAGGUGGCCGCAGAGAAUAGGCCCAAGCGACUGUUUACCAAAAACAUAGGUUUCUGCUAAGUCGCAAGACGAUGUAUAGGAGCUGACGCCUGCCCGGUGCUGGAA
RNAcentral lists this ribosomal RNA (1519 nucleotides) under Clostridioides difficile. Its description in RNAcentral is "partial 23S ribosomal RNA". It matches the Rfam family "Bacterial large subunit ribosomal RNA", at positions 335 to 1874 of the family's 2925-position model. The record is from RNAcentral. Lineage: Bacteria; Bacillati; Bacillota; Clostridia; Peptostreptococcales; Peptostreptococcaceae.